RNAcentral lists this transfer RNA (73 nucleotides) under Ophiocordyceps sinensis CO18. RNAcentral describes it as "tRNA-Und (NNN) (tRNA-Und-NNN-9-1)". It matches the Rfam family "tRNA". From Rfam's summary of the family: Transfer RNA (tRNA) molecules are approximately 80 nucleotides in length. Their secondary structure includes four short double-helical elements and three loops (D, anti-codon, and T loops). Lineage: Eukaryota; Fungi; Ascomycota; Sordariomycetes; Hypocreales; Ophiocordycipitaceae. The record is from RNAcentral.
ACCCUUAUAGCGGAGUGGUUACCGCCUAGAACGCCCUAUCGAUAGGGAGUCGGUUUAAAUCCGGCUAGGGGGA